UGGGGAAUAUUGGACAAUGGGCGAAAGCCUGAUCCAGCCAUGCCGCGUGUGUGAAGAAGGUCUUCGGAUUGUAAAGCACUUUAAGUUGGGAGGAAGGGCAGUAAGCGAAUACCUUGCUGUUUUGACGUUACCGACAGAAUAAGCACCGGCUAACUCUGUGCCAGCAGCCGCGGUAAUACAGAGGGUGCAAGCGUUAAUCGGAAUUACUGGGCGUAAAGCGCGCGUAGGUGGUUCGUUAAGUUGAAUGUGAAAGCCCCGGGCUCAACCUGGGAACUGCAUCCAAAACUGGCGGGCUAGAGUAGGGCAGAGGGUGGUGGAAUUUACUGUGUAGCGGUGAAAUGCGUAGAUAUAGGAAGGAACACCAAUGGCGAAGGCGACCACCUGGGCUCAUACUGACACUGAGGUGCGAAAGCGUGGGGAGCAAACAGG
Molecule: ribosomal RNA, 429 nt
Filed under: Pseudomonadota bacterium
Lineage: Bacteria; Pseudomonadati; Pseudomonadota
Description: Proteobacteria bacterium partial 16S ribosomal RNA
Rfam family: Bacterial small subunit ribosomal RNA
Source: RNAcentral